This 561-nucleotide long non-coding RNA is filed under the name Ananas comosus (pineapple). RNAcentral's name for it is "long non-coding RNA (ACOM_LNC014045)". The record is from RNAcentral. Lineage: Eukaryota; Viridiplantae; Streptophyta; Magnoliopsida; Poales; Bromeliaceae.
ACUAAUAAUCCCGAUUGCAAUUAAAAUCUAACUAACUUUGUAAUAAGAAUAAAAUCAAACUUACAGAUAAACGCAAAUAUCCAAAUAAUGAUUUGAUCUUAUCCGGAAGCGUGCGAGACACUGCCCUAAGGCGUAUUCCCGUCCUUACGUGCGGGAUUAACCGGAAAUAACACCCCAAGGUACGACCGGAAUUCCUCAUUCUGCGAGCACGAUCGUGAAGGAGGUUGACGAAGAUUCUCAACACCCAGUGGAUAAGGGGAAUGUUCAAAAAUGAAAGAUAAAAGAAUAAAUGGAUAGAGAUUAACCAAUGAUCAAAAAUCUUUUCUGCCUGCUCUAUCUUUUCUAUCUAAAAAACAGAGGAGAAAAAGAGGAAGGGGAUUUAACGCCCUUUUUCGUUACGACAGAAAGGCGUAUCCCGCACAACGGAAUGAGAUUCCGUUGACGCAAUAAACGGACCAAGAAAUUGAACGGGAAAAAUAUCCCGUUAGUUUCUUUCUCAUUAAGAAACAUAAUAAAAUAAUUAAAUUAAAUAAAAUAAAUAAAGUAAUAAAUAAAUAAAAU